UCCCCAGUAGCUCAGGUGGUAAAGAAUCUGCCUGCAAUGCAGGAGACCCUGGUUCAAUUCCUGGGUCAGGAA
This 72-nucleotide transfer RNA is filed under the name Bos taurus (domestic cattle). It matches the Rfam family "tRNA". From Rfam's summary of the family: Transfer RNA (tRNA) molecules are approximately 80 nucleotides in length. Their secondary structure includes four short double-helical elements and three loops (D, anti-codon, and T loops). RNAcentral also lists the same sequence under 4 other names. The record is from Rfam by way of RNAcentral. Lineage: Eukaryota; Metazoa; Chordata; Mammalia; Artiodactyla; Bovidae.